GAUGAAGAACGUAGCGAAAUGCGAUAAGUAAUGUGAAUUGCAGAAUUCAGUGAAUCAUCGAAUCUUUGAACGCACAUUGCGCCCGCCAGUAUUCUGGCGGGCAUGCCUGUUCGAGCGUCAUUUCAACCAUCAAGCCCCCGGCUUGUGUUGGGGACCUGCGGCUGCCGCAGGCCCUGAAAACCAGUGGCGGGCUCGCUAGUCACUCCGAGCGUAGUAAUACAUCUCGCUCAGGGCGUGCUGCGGGUUCCGGCCGUUAAAAAGCCUUAUUUACCCAAGGUUGGCCUCGGAUCAGGUAGGAAGACCCGCUGAACUUAAGCAUAUCAAUAAGCGGAGGA
This 335-nucleotide unclassified non-coding RNA is filed under the name soil metagenome. RNAcentral's name for it is "partial contains 5.8S ribosomal RNA, internal transcribed spacer 2, and large subunit ribosomal RNA". The stretch from base 1 to 120 matches the Rfam family "5.8S ribosomal RNA", at positions 35 to 154 of the family's 154-position model. The record is from RNAcentral.